RNAcentral lists this ribosomal RNA (253 nucleotides) under uncultured bacterium. RNAcentral describes it as "partial 16S ribosomal RNA". It matches the Rfam family "Bacterial small subunit ribosomal RNA", at positions 524 to 776 of the family's 1533-position model. The record is from RNAcentral.
GACGAACCUUGCUAACGUUAUUCGGAAUUACUGGGCUUAAAGGGUGCGUAGGCGGCGCGGUGAGUCGGGUGUGAAAUCUCGGAGCUUAACUCCGAAACUGCAUUCGAUACUGCCGUGCUUGAGGACUGGAGAGGAGACUGGAAUUUACGGUGUAGCGGUGAAAUGCGUAGAUAUCGUAAGGAAGACCAGUGGCGAAGGCGGGUCUCUGGACAGUUCCUGACGCUGAGGCACGAAGGCCAGGGGAGCAAACGGG